Molecule: long non-coding RNA, 3634 nt
Organism: Beta vulgaris subsp. vulgaris (sugar beet)
Lineage: Eukaryota; Viridiplantae; Streptophyta; Magnoliopsida; Caryophyllales; Amaranthaceae
Exons: 6
Source: RefSeq, a predicted model, not a curated record
UCGAUUUUUAAUUCCGUAAUUGGUUGAUUAUCUGAAUUUGAGUAUUUGUCAAAUUUAGGGUUCUUGUAUAAAUUGAUUUAGGAAAAGUUUCUGUUACCCAAUAUGUAUAAUUGAUCUGUGUGUAAUCUUUGAUUCAAUAUGGUUUGUUGUUAUAAAAGUCCAUUUUCGUUGUGUGUUCUGUUUUGCACGCAGCUACUGUUUUGGCAAUUUCUCAAUAAUUGUGUCGCUUUUAGACCUUGGAUCCUUAAUGAAAGUUGUGGAGCUUGAAGAGUUAAUGAAUUUAGGCUCAAGAAUUGUGUGAUUUGGAGUUGUAUACUAGGAGCUAUGCUUUGUGCAAGUUCUUGGUGUUAGCUAUUUCCGAGUUUAUUUAUAUUAAGUUUUUUUUAGAAGUAUUGGAAAUUCAGGGUUGUUACAGAGUCCUCCCCCUUACUGUUGAUGAAGGUCCUCAGACCUGACUGAGUCCUCUGCCUUACUGUUGAGAAUGGUCCUCAGACCUGACAGAGUCCUCCACCUUACUAUUAAUGAUGGUCCACAAACCUGACGAAGUCCUCCGCCUUUAUGAUUAAUGAUGGUUUGCAGACCUAACAUCUGAUUUCUACUGUUAACUCUCCAUAGUAUUUGUUGCCUCUAGAGCAAUGUACAUUUUGAUUUAUUUUUUUUUAGCGUCAUAUGCUGUAAGAAUGGCAAAAUCAUAUUUUUGCGAAUUUUUGGAAGUUCGUUAAUUAGUUUGUCGCGAGCGACAUUGAAGCAUAACGAACAUUUGAAAUCAUUUAGAAUUGAAGAAGUGGGACCCCACCUUGGCUAUGAAGCCCCCAAGCACAUUGUACAAGCUUGUGAGCUGGACGCAAAAGUUUACGCGUGGCGCAGUAUGAUGCGCUGGACACAGGAUCCUGUGCUUGGCGCAGUUUUGUCGGUGCGCAUGACGCAUGUUUUGCGCGCGUGGCGCAUGUCAUUAAAUGACCUAUAAUGCACGGUUUUUUUUCCAAAAACCCUCAUUUCAUUUCUCUUCUUCGUCCUUGCGCCAUUUUGCAUUUCUCUCUCUCUCUCUCUCUCUCACUUCAAAUCUCCAUUUUUGAACAUUUUGAGCUUCGAUUUUGGCUUGAAACUUGAAUUCUUUCAGAUCUGGGCUAGGGGAGUCUUGAUUUACACUUGGUUGCAAGUUUUGUGUGGUUUUUGAGCAUUUUUCAGCGAUUCUGAGAAGUUUUGAAGGUUCGAAAUUUUCGAACCAUCGUUGGGCAUUUUCUGGCGGCUUCCACGGCUGACUUGUGUCCCGGUGGUCCUUUUUUCCAGCGAUACGUUCUUCCCCUUUUUUCGUUUCGGUUUUUGUCCUUUUUUGUGCGUUUUUUUAUUUUUAUUUCGUUUUGUGCGAUUUUUGAAUGGAGUGAACGUGUGCAUUUGACCAGAUUUAAUUUUCCCGUGAUUUUUCCGGUCACUUUUCCGACGACUUUCUGUGAAUUUUCGACGAGUUUUCCGGCAAUUUCGGAUUAUGUUCUUCACGAGUUUAAACUUGUUCCACUAAAGAAGAGGAGAUAUGAAAGUUAUGCAUCAUCAGUGGGUUUGAAAGGCCCCAGGAUGGACUCUUGACCAGCUGCAAUUCUACACGGAGAAUCACGUCUCCCAUCGACCACUUACGGGUGGUGUGAGAAUCUGCAAUGCGAUACUUUAUUUUUCUUUUAGAUUAGUACUUAUGCACCCAUGUUGAUCGUGAUCGUAUUUGCAGGAGGAUGGUAAAUGUCGUCACUUUGCUACAUUUGACUUCAGGUGGCGCAAGAAGGUUCGCAAGAGCCGCUAUCGGGCAGUUCUGCGCGAUCAGAGUGGGCCUUCCCGCUUUAUUGACGUCUACGAGAGCAUGGGGGAUGUUCUUUCCUCCUAGAGCUUGUUCCGUAGACUGUUGGACUGGUGGUGGGAUACCACCAACUCCUUUCAAAUGCCUUGGAGGGAGAUCACCAUUACUCCCCUGGAUUUCUCGUUGAUAUCUGGUUUGUCUUUUACUGACAUCCGAGUGCCAUUAGUUGACAAGCUGGUGUUGAACACCCAGUAUGUCAGGGAGCUGAUCGGCCCGGUCGCUGAUACUAUUCCUCCGGCUCUGACAUAUGUCGCCUGAAAGGAUGUGGCUAGAGGGCUUCAUAUGCCCGAGACGACCGUCGAGCAAAAGGUGCACAUUCGUCUGUGGUUAGAUAUUUGCGGCAUGUUCCGUACCGACAAGGGAUUGCGGGUUUCGAUGCGAUACUUGGGAGCCUUGGAGCACUUGUCCCUUGUACACAAUUAUGAUUGAGCCGAGUUCGGCUACUGCAGCGAAUCCUGCCCACAUACUGCCUGCAUGCAGAAGAGUGAUGAUGCAUAGGUCUCCCUUUCUGGUCCUUGGAGACUUCUCGAGCUCUGGUUUUUUGAGUACUUUCUGAGUCUGUCUCUGGAAAGGGUUUUGGACCACUCCUUCCCUACCGGCCGUUACUGGGAGCAUUGCAGGGGGAGUAAAUACCAUCGUGAAUGAUGCUCGGAGGACGAUACGGUGUGCUAUGACGAACCAGAUUUCUUUCCAUCCUUAGGCUUUAUUGAGAGUUGCUUGACUGGGCUCAAAGGGCUAGCGCUCUAAUUUGAGAGAGGGUCAUUUUCUACGGGGAGGAUGGCCCCGUGUGGUAUCUUAGUGAGCGUGUUACGUGCUAGUUCGAUACCUCCCUCCUGCUAGUUCCUCAUGACUCUCCCGCAACUAUGAUGGACAUGGACGCACUUGACUUGAGCAGACGGUCCAGGAUGGGGCAGAUCUUCAUGUUGACUACCGCGAGUUUGUUCAUCGCAGGAUUGAUUACACCACCGUGCUCUUACCUCGGUUAUCCUCUCCUAUACGUUUUAACAAGGAGGCGUCUCAGGCUCGCAUUUCGUUCGUUUCAGAUCUGAGAAUCUAGUAUGUUAGCGAAACCGGACCAGUUAAGGAGAUUGUUAAUGUUAGCCCGGAGGCGGAGUAGCAUCCUGUUCGUGCUAAUCGGCCCAUGUGAGAUCGGUAACUCAAAAAACUGUUGUUCAGAUUCUCCGUUGGUGGAUUCUGUUAAGCAUGGGAUGACGAAGAUGAAGAGGAGAAUGUCUUAUUGACAGCCUGUGCAUAGCCAGGUAGCUUAUCAUAUUACAUUUCAAUUGUUCUUGUGUCGAUUUCUAAUGAUUUCUGACAUUUUAUGCAACCUCGUCCCGAGGCUAGAAUGUCGACCUAGUCUAGGCUCCCGACCCAGACUCCACGUGAUUCGACUCUCGAUAGGCCAAAAUCGGAUGUUUUUACUAGGCAGUUUGACAUGGGAGGUAUGAGAUUCUUAGGGGACCCUAGCUCCAACCCUUACUCCUGGACUAGCGCGAUGUGGAUGCAGCAAAUACCGCCAAUGUGGCUUAUGCAGCCGAUGUAUCCCAUGCAGCAGCCAGAGAUAGGCUACGACUGGCGAGGAUCUCAUGGGAGCGAGUCGAGCGACGUUCGAAUUGAGGGGCCAGAGGACUCCUUCUCGAGGGAUCAGGAUCCUCCUUCUUAGAUUUCUGCUUUUUACUCUUGUAUACAUGUGACCUGAAUUUCUGUUGUGACAUGUAUUGCACCUUUAUUUUGACUGUUAUUUUAUUUGUGCUAUUACUAAUGCCUUUGAUUGAUUUUUACUAUAAA